Molecule: long non-coding RNA, 338 nt
Organism: Podarcis raffonei (Aeolian wall lizard)
Lineage: Eukaryota; Metazoa; Chordata; Lepidosauria; Squamata; Lacertidae
Exons: 3
Source: RefSeq, a predicted model, not a curated record
AUAGCCUGGUUGUCCUGGAGUCCCUCCCCUGUGGACCGACAUCUGUGGCAGGCACAAAAGAAGGGUUUUUAAAGCACAGGACCUUCAAGAUGCUUGAGCGGGGGGCAGAGAUAUCUGAAAUCUUGUUAAGUCAUCAGUCAAUUAUGAAGGCCAUCAAUCUUUGGACCCUUUCAGACAAGCAAUUUAUACUGGGCCUAUUGUGCAAGGCUUCCACCCCUGCUACAAUAUGCUGAAGCAUUAAAAGAAAAGGGAAAGGGCUACAUAUCUCUUUCCAUACGUUUCAAAAGGGAAGGUCUAUGCUUGCAACACUGAUGUGCCUUUCACAGCUGAUGAAGAGC